Long non-coding RNA from Lotus japonicus, 1499 nucleotides. RefSeq lists it as uncharacterized. The transcript has 4 exons. The record is from RefSeq and is a predicted model, not a curated record. NCBI's taxonomy places the organism in Eukaryota, Viridiplantae, Streptophyta, Magnoliopsida, Fabales, Fabaceae.
CGUUCCAUUCCAUCUGAUAGAUAGUGCACACAUUAAUGCUUUACCGUCUCUCACUCUCCUCUUGACUUUUGGUUUUCCUUCGUCUCUUCACUACCCUUCAAUCCUUCAUCAGUUUCUUAGCCACUAGAUCUUUCACAUUCUCUUCACUACCCCUUAUUAAUUUCUUUCACUUCUUUUCCUCAUUAAAGCACUCUUUUUUUUAGCACUGGAAGGAUUUGCAUCGAAGGUUCGGUGGAUGCAGCUUCAGAUUCUUACUAAUGAUACCAUUGGCACCGGAUUAUGUUGCUCCCAUCGGCGACGAAAUAGUUGUCGUCGUUGGUGAAGUCUUCAGCGUUACACGGCGUGCAUUGGGAUAGGAAGGGCGACAAGCUCCGAUCGACAUGCAUCGCCGAUCGUGCCUCUGAUUGGAAGCUCGCUCUGUGGCGCUACCUUUCAUACCGCUAUCAACAGCAGCUUAAUGAAGGAUGACUUCAAGCAUGGGAAUAUAAAAUCAGGGCAUUGCUGGUGGAAGCCUUCCAGUAACAAAAAUUAGAGAAAAUUGGUUGUUUAGAUUUCAGUGUUUGGACAAGCGAAUAUAUACCUGACUUUAUCACCACUGUUAUUCAUAUGGAUUUUUAAUAUUUUAACUAUUAAGGUACAAUUGUUUCGGUGCAAGGCAUUGAAUAACUCAUGAAAUUUCAUGUCAUGUCCAUCAAUAUCCAGUCAUGUGAUCUCAGAUUGCUGUUAAGUGAAUAUCAUGUGUGCAAUGAGCCGUGCAAAACGUGAUCUAGGAAAGGUUAUUAUGCCAAUACAAAGCUAUGGCGUGGAGCCUUUCAAUUUCUUGAAAGGUCCUACCUGCACAACCUUCUAAAGCAUUAGAAACCCCCAAUGAAUAAUUGAAUAUUGAUAUUUGUUCUUCUGAUAUUUGCAAAAUGGGUAUAUUGAACACCUACCCAUUGCAGUCAUUAAUAAGAGGAAUAAACAGAUUUCUUUCCCCAAUAAGAGGAAUUUUGUUGAAUAUACUCUUUCAAGAGUUGCUGCUUUUUGCUCUCUUGGUGAGUUUCGUUCACAGCCUCUCCUUCAGCAGUUGUGCAGCAGCCCCCUCAUUAUGCAGAGUUGCAGUAGUUCUGCUAUGGUAAGGUUCGAUGCUGGACUGUAAAGUUUAGCAGUUCCUUCACUGGCCGUGCGUGGGAGUGAAGGCUCAGUCUGAGCAAAAGGUUGCAAGCAGCACCUUAGGAAGAAAAGCGGAUUUAAAAUGAAAUGUUGCUUUCAAACUGUCUCCUUUACAAAGUAACAAAGAUGAGAUCUGCUUCAACCCUCAUUAUGAGCAACUCUUCUAGCUGGAAUUAGAACCACUGCAAGGCUAGAGAAGGGAUAUGAAAGAGUAAAUUAAGAGCGGUAAAGCAAGUGAACUGAGUGAGAGCACAAUUUCAGUUCUUUUAUAAUUAACUUUGUGUAAACAAAAAUUACACUUUCGGUGCAUAGACCUUUAAUCCCAUUGUUUGAGUACUGUUUACUAU